Molecule: ribosomal RNA, 474 nt
Filed under: Comamonadaceae bacterium
Lineage: Bacteria; Pseudomonadati; Pseudomonadota; Betaproteobacteria; Burkholderiales; Comamonadaceae
Description: bacterial SSU rRNA
Rfam family: Bacterial small subunit ribosomal RNA
Source: RNAcentral
GCAAUGCCGCGUGCAGGAUGAAGGCCUUCGGGUUGUAAACUGCUUUUGUACGGAGCGAAACGGUCUACCCUAAUACGGUGGGCUAAUGACGGUACCGUAAGAAUAAGCACCGGCUAACUACGUGCCAGCAGCCGCGGUAAUACGUAGGGUGCGAGCGUUAAUCGGAAUUACUGGGCGUAAAGCGUGCGCAGGCGGUGAUGUAAGACAGAUGUGAAAUCCCCGGGCUCAACCUGGGACCUGCAUUUGUGACUGCAUUGCUAGAGUACGGUAGAGGGGGAUGGAAUUCCGCGUGUAGCAGUGAAAUGCGUAGAUAUGCGGAGGAACACCGAUGGCGAAGGCAAUCCCCUGGACCUGUACUGACGCUCAUGCACGAAAGCGUGGGGAGCAAACAGGAUUAGAUACCCUGGUAGUCCACGCCCUAAACGAUGUCAACUGGUUGUUGGGUCUUCACUGACUCAGUAACGAAGCUAACGC